CCUACGUGAGGCAGCAGUGGGGAAUAUUUCGCAAUGGGCGAAAGCCUGACGCAGCGACGCCGCGUGAGGGAUGAAGGUCUUCGGAUCGUAAACCUCUGUCAGCAGGGAAGAACGGUCACUGUGCUAAUCAGCAGUGAAUUGACGGUACCUGCAAAGGAAGCACCGGCUAACUCCGUGCCAGCAGCCGCGGUAAUACGGAGGGUGCGAGCGUUAAUCGGAAUUACUGGGCGUAAAGCGCUCGUAGGCGGUAUGUCAAGUCAAGGGUGAAAUCCCCGCGCUCAACGUGGGAACUGCCUUUGAAACUGGCAAACUGGAGUGUGUGAGAGGAUAGUGGAAUUCCAGGUGUAGGAGUGAAAUCCGUAGAUAUCUGGAGGAACAUCAGUGGCGAAGGCGACUAUCUGGCACAUAACUGACGCUGAGGAGCGAAAGCGUGGGUAGCAAACAGGAUUAGAUACCCCGGUAGUC
RNAcentral lists this ribosomal RNA (465 nucleotides) under uncultured bacterium. RNAcentral describes it as "partial 16S ribosomal RNA". It matches the Rfam family "Bacterial small subunit ribosomal RNA", at positions 338 to 795 of the family's 1533-position model. The record is from RNAcentral.